CAAUAGCGUAUAUUAAAGUUGUUGCAGUUAAAAAGCUCGUAGUUGGAUUUCGGGACGGGCCAGUUGGUCCGCCGCAAGGUGUGUUACUGACUGGUCUGUUCUUCUUCGCAAAGACUGCGUGUGCUCUUCGUUGAGUGUGCGUAGGAUUUACGACGUUUACUUUGAAAAAAUUAGAGUGUUCAAAGCAGGCUAUCGCUUGAAUACAUGAGCAUGGAAUAAUGGAAUAGGACUUUGGUCCUAUUUUGUUGGUUUCUAGGACCGAAGUAAUGAUUAAGAGGGACAAUUGGGGGCGUCCGUAUUUCGUUGUCAGAGGUGAAAUUCUUGGAUUUACGAAAGACGAACAACUGCGAAAGCACUUGCCAAGAGUGUUUUCAUUAA
RNAcentral lists this ribosomal RNA (378 nucleotides) under uncultured eukaryote. Its description in RNAcentral is "partial 18S ribosomal RNA". It matches the Rfam family "Eukaryotic small subunit ribosomal RNA", at positions 592 to 976 of the family's 1831-position model. The record is from RNAcentral.